RNAcentral lists this long non-coding RNA (438 nucleotides) under Homo sapiens (human). RNAcentral's name for it is "HSALNT0302577". The record is from RNAcentral. Lineage: Eukaryota; Metazoa; Chordata; Mammalia; Primates; Hominidae.
AUGUUGUUGGAUGGCACCAGUAUGUGACGUUCCUAGGAACUUAGCUCUGAGGAAAAAACAAAGCAAACCGGGGAAGUACGUAGCCUUGAACCGGAGUAACCAGGGACAGAAAGGAAGGAAAAGGGUUUCAUACCUUCACGGAACGACGCUCACUUCGUCCGCCUGAGGAGGAAAAAUAAGUUUAAACCUUUCUGUGAAAAAGAACGUGGAGCCCUUUCUGCCGAAUGGAAACCCGCUAAACCCCGUUAUGGAGUCUGCUACAAUUAAGCAUCUAACCAGGAAUUGUCUAUGGACACAACUCUCCAGGCAAUUCAUGCAGAAAGUGUGUUGACGAUUUCCUGUUUCUUGCAGAGCGCUUCACCGUUAAGGCUCUUAGUAGCUGGCGAUUGUAAAGCACAUUUUCCGCUUCAUGAAAAUACAGUGCUCUUCUUGUGUUUG